RNAcentral lists this ribosomal RNA (500 nucleotides) under uncultured bacterium. Its description in RNAcentral is "bacterial SSU rRNA". It matches the Rfam family "Bacterial small subunit ribosomal RNA", at positions 29 to 517 of the family's 1533-position model. The record is from RNAcentral.
AGUGAACGCUGGCGGCGUGCUUAACACAUGCAAGUCGAGCGAGAUCUGACAGCACACCGUCAGGUCUAGCGGCAGACGGGUGAGUAAUAUUUGGGCAAUCUGCCCUUGAGUGGGGGACAACCUGCCGAAAGGCGGGCUAAUACCCCAUAAGACCACAGGGAUGCAUAUUCCAGGGGUCAAAGCUCCGCAAGGGGCGCUUAAGGAGGAGCCCGAAUCCUAUCAGGUAGUUGGCGGGGUAAUGGCCCACCAAGCCGUUGACGGGUAGCCGGCCUGAAAGGGCAACCGGCCACACUGGCACUGAGACACGGGCCAGACUCCUACGGGAGGCAGCAGUGGGGAAUUUUGGACAAUGGGGGCAACCCUGAUCCAGCGACGCCGCGUGAAGGAUGAAGGUCUUCGGAUUGUAAACUUCUUUUGGAGGGGAUGAAUGCCCCUGGUGAAUAGCCAGGGGUGACAGUACCCUUCGAAUAAGCCACGGCUAAACUACGUGCCAGCAGCCG